CACAGGUUGAGAACCCCUGUUCUAUGGCUUUGAUACUAUUUCUGAUAAGAUCCCAUCUGGAGGGCAGAGAGGUACCUGAUGAGGUACAUGAACUCCUGUCUAGGGCAGUAGCAAGGUGUUACACUGAUCAUCUAGAUUUUGGUGCCUUAUUCUUGGUCCCCUGUGUUUUGUUCUACAUGGUGUUUGUCUCCUGCCUGAGACACUAGCAAAAAAAAAAAGACUGCCUGCCCACCUAGUUCUUAGAUGCUGGGGAACAAGAAAGUAGUCAGUUGAGCCUAAUUAAAUGUAUGAAUGAAGGUAGGCACCAUACUUUUUUUGACCAGUCGUUUUCAGCUACAUGAAUGUAGCCAUGUUUAAUGGUUUUGAUUUUUGCUGACUCUGUCCCUUGGACGUUUGUGUUCUAUGGUUUCAUUUUUUGAUCUGUCUGUCUCUUCUGCCCCUGCCAUACUCCCUCCAUCUGCCACAGAAACAGCCACUGAAGUCCACAGUCAGAGAAAACUGUUUUUCCAUCCUGAGUCUCAUGCUAGGUGCAGGCUUUGGGCCCACCACAUGCCUGGCCAGGGCAGGAAAAGGGACAGCAAGGACUAGAAGGGCAAACUCCCAGAGGUGGACCCUAGUGGACAGCUCACUGACUGCCUUCCUGACUCCUUGUCCCAGGAAAACCCAUGGCCUACAAAGAGCAGAUGGGGGUGCAGACCUAUCAGGGGAAGAUGGAGCAGUUGGCUGUAGUUGCUAUCUCCAUUCUCAGGUUGCUCUGGUCCCUCCUCCUGGUCCCUGAAUUCAAUUUAGCAGGGAUUCAGAUGUUUUUUAGAUAUAGACAAUAUUGAGAUAUAAUUUUAUGCUGUUGUGCUAUAUUGAAAAACUGAGUGCCUGCUUCUCUAGACCCAAGCAUGCUAUUUAAGUCUCCUGUCUGCCCUAUGACAGGUGAGACACCUGAUUUUAUGACAAAAAAAAGAAAAAAACAGCCCUCCCCCCCCAAAAAAAAAGCAAGGCAAUGGUGGCGCACGCCUUCAAUCCCAGCACUCGGGAGGCAGAGGCAGGCGGAUCUCUGAGUUUGAUGCCAGCCUGGUCUCCAGAGAUAGUUGCAGGACAGCCAGGGUCACACAGAGAAACCCUGUCUAGGAGGCAAAGUAAAAGAACAAAAAUAAAAAGAAACUGAAAGGGAAAUGAGGGUUUCAAAAACGCUGUCCCAGAGGGAACUCUAGAGCAAAGUAAAAGAACAAAAAUAAAAAGAAACUGAAAGGGAAAUGAGG
This 1253-nucleotide long non-coding RNA is filed under the name Cricetulus griseus (Chinese hamster). RNAcentral describes it as "lncRNA (ENSCGRG00015041848.1)". The record is from RNAcentral. Lineage: Eukaryota; Metazoa; Chordata; Mammalia; Rodentia; Cricetidae.